RNAcentral lists this ribosomal RNA (440 nucleotides) under uncultured bacterium. RNAcentral describes it as "partial 16S ribosomal RNA". It matches the Rfam family "Bacterial small subunit ribosomal RNA", at positions 338 to 795 of the family's 1533-position model. The record is from RNAcentral.
CCUACGGGGGGCAGCAGUAGGGAAUAUUGCUCAAUGGGGGAAACCCUGAAGCAGCAACGCCGCGUGGAGGAUGAAGGUUUUCGGAUUGUAAACUCCUUUUGUUAGAGAAGAUAAUGACGGUAUCUAACGAAUAAGCACCGGCUAACUCCGUGCCAGCAGCCGCGGUAAUACGGAGGGUGCAAGCGUUACACGGAAUCACUGGGCGUAAAGAGGGCGGAGGCGGGAUAGCAAGUCAGAUGUGAAAUCCUAUGGCUUAACCAUAGAACUGCAUUUGAAACUGUUAUUCUAGAGUAUGGGAGAGGUAGGUGGAAUUCUUGGUGUAGGGGUAAAAUCCGUAGAGAUCAAGAAGAAUACUCAUUGCGAAGGCGACCUGCUAGAACAUAACUGACGCUGAUGCGCGAAAGCGUGGGGAGCAAACAGGAUUAGAUACCCUUGUAGUC